GCAAUCAAUAAGCGGAGGAAAAGAAACCAACCGGGAUUGCCUCAGUAACGGCGAGUGAAGCGGCAAAAGCUCAAAUUUGAAAUCUGGCGCCCGCCCGAAUUGUAAUUUGAAGAAGCGACUUUGGACCUGGCUCUUGUCUAAGUUCCUUGGAACAGGACGUCAUAGAGGGUGAGAAUCCCGUUAGAUGAGAUGCCCAGGGCCGUGUAAAGCGUUUUCGACGAGUCGAGUUGUUUGGGAAUGCAGCUCUAAGUGGGUGGUAAAUUCCAUCUAAAGCUAAAUAUUGGCGAGAGACCGAUAGCGAACAAGUACAGUGAUGGAAAGAUGAAAAGAACUUUGAAAAGAGAGUGAAAAAGUACGUGAAAUUGUUGAAAGGGAAGGGCUUGUGAUCAGACUUUGCAUUUCUAUGGCUUCCUUUCGGGGGGGUCCUCUGGAGUUGUAGGGCCAGCAUGGGUUGGAGGGGUGAGAUAAUGGGGAAGGAAUGUGGCUCUGCCUCGGUAGAGUGUUAUAUCCUUUUCUGAUGUCACCACCUUCGACCGAGGACUGCGGUACUAGGAUGC
Molecule: ribosomal RNA, 557 nt
Filed under: [Candida] sp. IMB-X2
Lineage: Eukaryota; Fungi; Ascomycota; Saccharomycetes; Saccharomycetales
Description: eukaryotic LSU rRNA
Rfam family: Eukaryotic large subunit ribosomal RNA
Source: RNAcentral